RNAcentral lists this ribosomal RNA (495 nucleotides) under uncultured bacterium. RNAcentral's name for it is "partial 16S ribosomal RNA". It matches the Rfam family "Bacterial small subunit ribosomal RNA", at positions 28 to 505 of the family's 1533-position model. The record is from RNAcentral.
GAUGAACGCUGGCGGCGUGCCUAAUACAUGCAAGUCGAGCGAACAGACGAGGAGCUUGCUCCUCUGACGUUAGCGGCGGACGGGUGAGUAACACGUGGAUAACCUACCUAUAAGACUGGGAUAACUUCGGGAAACCGGAGCUAAUACCGGAUAAUAUAUUGAACCGCAUGGUUCAAUAGUGAAAGACGGUUUUGCUGUCACUUAUAGAUGGAUCCGCGCCGCAUUAGCUAGUUGGUAAGGUAACGGCUUACCAAGGCAACGAUGCGUAGCCGACCUGAGAGGGGGAUCGGCCACACUGGAACUGAGACACGGUCCAGACUCCUACGGGAGGCAGCAGUAGGGAAUCUUCCGCAAGGGGCGAAAGCCUGACGGAGCAACGCCGCGUGAGUGAUGAAGGUCUUCGGAUCGUAAAACUCUGUUAUUAGGGAAGAACAAAUGUGUAAGUAACUAUGCACGUCUUGACGGGACCUAAUCAGAAAGCCACGGCUAACUACG